RNAcentral lists this ribosomal RNA (253 nucleotides) under uncultured bacterium. RNAcentral's name for it is "partial 16S ribosomal RNA". It matches the Rfam family "Bacterial small subunit ribosomal RNA", at positions 524 to 776 of the family's 1533-position model. The record is from RNAcentral.
GACGAACCACACAAACGUUAUUCGGAAUUACUGGGCUUAAAGGGUGCGUAGGCUGUGCGGAAAGUUGGGUGUGAAAUCCCCCGGCUCAACCGGGGAAUUGCGCCCAAAACUACCGUGCUUGAGGAAGACAGAGGUGAGCGGAACUUCGGGUGGAGCGGUGAAAUGCGUUGAUAUCCGAAGGAACACCGGUGGCGAAAGCGGCUCACUGGGUCUUUUCUGACGCUGAUGCACGAAAGCGCGGGGAGCAAACAGG